GAACGCUGGCGGCGUGCCUAAUACAUGCAAGUCGAGCGAGGGUCUUCGGACCCUAGCGGCGGACGGGUGAGUAACACGUAGGCAACCUGCCUGUAAGACUGGGAUAACAUAGGGAAACUUAUGCUAAUACCGGAUAGGGUUUUGCUUCGCCUGAAGCGAAACGGAAAGAUGGCGCAAGCUAUCACUUACAGAUGGGCCUGCGGCGCAUUAGCUAGUUGGUGAGGUAAYGGCUCACCAAGGCAACGAUGCGUAGCCGACCUGAGAGGGUGACCGGCCACACUGGGACUGAGACACGGCCCAGACUCCUACGGGAGGCAGCAGUAGGGAAUUUUCCACAAUGGACGAAAGUCUGAUGGAGCAACGCCGCGUGAACGAUGAAGGCUUUCGGGUCGUAAAGUUCUGUUGUUAGGGAAGAAACAGUGCUAUUUAAAUAAGGUAGCACCUUGACGGUACCUAACGAGAAAGCCACGGCUAACUACGUGCCAGCAGCCGCGGUAAUACGUAGGUGGCAAGCGUUGUCCGGAAUUAUUGGGCGUAAAGCGCGCGCAGGUGGCUAUGUAAGUCUGAUGUUAAAGCCCGAGGCUCAACCUCGGUUCGCAUUGGAAACUGUGUAGCUUGAGUGCAGGAGAGGAAAGUGGUAUUCCACGUGUAGCGGUGAAAUGCGUAGAG
RNAcentral lists this ribosomal RNA (669 nucleotides) under Brevibacillus laterosporus. Its description in RNAcentral is "bacterial SSU rRNA". It matches the Rfam family "Bacterial small subunit ribosomal RNA", at positions 31 to 695 of the family's 1533-position model. Lineage: Bacteria; Bacillati; Bacillota; Bacilli; Caryophanales; Paenibacillaceae. The record is from RNAcentral.